UCUCCAGUGGCGCAGUUGGUUAGCGCAAGGUACUUAUACGACAGUAUUAUCUAAUGCGUUAAAUUGAAGAAAUGCCGAGGUCGCGAGUUCGAGCCUCGCCUGGAGAA
This 107-nucleotide transfer RNA is filed under the name Daphnia magna. It matches the Rfam family "tRNA". Rfam says of the family: Transfer RNA (tRNA) molecules are approximately 80 nucleotides in length. Their secondary structure includes four short double-helical elements and three loops (D, anti-codon, and T loops). Lineage: Eukaryota; Metazoa; Arthropoda; Branchiopoda; Diplostraca; Daphniidae. The record is from Rfam by way of RNAcentral.